RNAcentral lists this ribosomal RNA (620 nucleotides) under Calycanthus occidentalis (western sweetshrub). RNAcentral describes it as "eukaryotic LSU rRNA". The stretch from base 211 to 367 matches the Rfam family "5.8S ribosomal RNA". Lineage: Eukaryota; Viridiplantae; Streptophyta; Magnoliopsida; Laurales; Calycanthaceae. The record is from RNAcentral.
UCGACCGACCGAUGAAUCGAUAUCAAUUUGACCCUCUUCUACCCCCGCUGUGCCUCGUGGUGUGGUCGAGUGGCAAACCUCUCUUAACAGAGCAACUCCCGGCGCCCAGCGCGCCAAGGAACUGUAGUCAAUCGGAACGGACUGAGUGGUCGACCCCGACGGGGCGCGCCCUCUUCGCAACCGAACCAAACAUCACACAUGCUCACGUACGACUCUCGGCAAUGAAUAUGUCAACUCUCGCAUCGAUGAAGAACGUAGCGAAAUGCGAUACUUUGUGUGAAUUGCAGAAUCUUGUGAAACCAUCGAGUCUUUGAACGGGAGUUGCGCCCAAGGCCGUCGGGCCGAGGGCACGCCUGCCUGGGCGUCAUGCCACCCAUCGCUCACCGCAUUCAACCCAGAGGGUGACGCGGAGAUUGGCCACUCGUGCCGGAGACAAUCUCUGUGAGCGGUGGGCCCAUAUGCAGGAAUUUUGUGCGGUUGGACGCGACGAGUGGUGUCCCGAGCAAUACUGCAGACGCCGCGCCUUCCCAUGCCCCACUACGUGGAAUGAGAGUGGCACGGAUUGCAGGCUACCGAUGCGACGUGAGCGGAUCGGCGUGCCGGCUCCCAAAAAAUUAGCA